Molecule: long non-coding RNA, 1410 nt
Organism: Cavia porcellus (domestic guinea pig)
Lineage: Eukaryota; Metazoa; Chordata; Mammalia; Rodentia; Caviidae
Exons: 5
Source: RefSeq, a predicted model, not a curated record
GGAGCCAGACAGGCCAGGAGCGACCUGAAGAGCUGCAGCUGGGUGGUUGCUCCGGGACUAGAGCAGGGCCUGGGGCCUGCACCUUGGUGAGCAGCGAUUGUUUCUCUUAUGUCAUCGGCAGACACUACAUCAUAUGGUAAAUGCUCAGGGUUUACUAGUACCAGUGUUUGAGGCAGGGUCUACUGUGUAGCCCAGGCUGGCCUUGAAUUUGCAGCAGUCCUCCUGCCUCAGCCUUCUGAGUGCUGGGAUUACAGGGGGUUGUGCUGGAAUCUCUGUAGCCCAGUAACCUUCCUGCCUGCCUGGACCCUGGGGCACUUUGAGCCUCACCUCCUGGGCAUCUUCGGAAUCCUUGCGGGGGGUCGCCUCUUCUCUCUCUGUUGUUUGCUGUGCUGUCAGGCAUGGAUUGUAAAUCCAUCUGUGAAGAACACAGACGCUGAGGGCCCCAUGCUGCUGAUUCUCCCUGAAGAUUGGGUCCUGGGUCCAGCCCAGAGGCUCUGCCCAGAAGCCGUCCAGAGCCUUUGAGCUGAGCGUCGCUUGGAUUAUUCAUGCAUGUCCUGCUAUCACCCAUGUCACCUCUCUACAGAUAUAAUCGCUGUGGCUGCUCCUCCUCUUUCUUGGCCAGUGCUGUCAUCUGAAUGAGAGUGUCCCACAGAAACGCUGAGGCAUUGUCCGCGAUGUAAUGGGGCAGAGGGGUGGAAAGACCUUUAUGAAGUAAUUGAGUCAUAAGGACUCCACCCUCCCGGAAGGAUUAAUGAGCUCUGAUGGGACUGUUUAUCACAAGAGCAGGUUGUUAGAAAGGGGCCCUGGCCCUGCUCCUUACUCUGCCUCACAUGGGACUUUUCCAAGUGCUCACCUCUCCCAUGGAUAAGAUGCUGUGGAAGGCCCUCACCAGAGCCGACCGGAUGUAGCUGCCUGAUCUUGAAUACAGUCAUGAGCCCAAAUCAACAUCUUUCCUCUGUGGAUUGCCCGGCUGUGGGUAUUUCGGCCUGAUAACAGGAAACAGGUGAGGACAGCCAGCACCGGGGGCGUGCUGUCCUCCCACCUGCCCAGCCCAGGGUGAAGAAAGCAUGUUCCCCUUCUUCAAGUGCCUCGUCCUGCUUGGUUCCUGGAGUUACUGGCUCAAGAGAGCCGGGGAGGGUGGGACUGGCCGUCCUGAAAUAGCGUCUGUCAUUGUCAGUACCACUGUCUUUAAAAGCAGGCCCGGGCGGACAGUGCUGUGCUAACUGCCUGGCAGGGGCAAUUCCCCGAGGCCGUUUCCUGCGCUCUCCUUGAGCCUUGAUGGGGAUAUUCUGGGUGCAUGUGAACGCCUGCCCAGGGAAGCGGGAGACACUGAUCUUACAGAAAGGGCCUCCUCGUACAGAGGAUGUGUAGCCUCCAUGUGCUUAACCUACCUGCAGGCUCGGCUGGGCC